RNAcentral lists this ribosomal RNA (686 nucleotides) under Pseudomonas sp. ONR-1. RNAcentral's name for it is "bacterial SSU rRNA". It matches the Rfam family "Bacterial small subunit ribosomal RNA", at positions 62 to 743 of the family's 1533-position model. Lineage: Bacteria; Pseudomonadati; Pseudomonadota; Gammaproteobacteria; Pseudomonadales; Pseudomonadaceae. The record is from RNAcentral.
UCGAGCGGAUGACGGGAGCUUGCUCCCGAAUUCAGCGGCGGACGGGUGAGUAAUGCCUAGGAAUCUGCCUGGUAGUGGGGGACAACGUCUCGAAAGGGACGCUAAUACCGCAUACGUCCUACGGGAGAAAGCAGGGGACCUUCGGGCCUUGCGCUAUCAGAUGAGCCUAGGUCGGAUUAGCUAGUUGGUGAGGUAAUGGCUCACCAAGGCGACGAUCCGUAACUGGUCUGAGAGGAUGAUCAGUCACACUGGAACUGAGACACGGUCCAGACUCCUACGGGAGGCAGCAGUGGGGAAUAUUGGACAAUGGGCGAAAGCCUGAUCCAGCCAUGCCGCGUGUGUGAAGAAGGUCUUCGGAUUGUAAAGCACUUUAAGUUGGGAGGAAGGGCAUUAACCUAAUACGUUAGUGUUUUGACGUUACCGACAGAAUAAGCACCGGCUAACUCUGUGCCAGCAGCCGCGGUAAUACAGAGGGUGCAAGCGUUAAUCGGAAUUACUGGGCGUAAAGCGCGCGUAGGUGGUUUGUUAAGUUGGAUGUGAAAGCCCCGGGCUCAACCUGGGAACUGCAUUCAAAACUGACAAGCUAGAGUAUGGUAGAGGGUGGUGGAAUUUCCUGUGUAGCGGUGAAAUGCGUAGAUAUAGGAAGGAACACCAGUGGCGAAGGCGACCACCUGGACUGAUACUGA